Molecule: ribosomal RNA, 338 nt
Filed under: Vibrio cholerae
Lineage: Bacteria; Pseudomonadati; Pseudomonadota; Gammaproteobacteria; Vibrionales; Vibrionaceae
Description: partial 23S ribosomal RNA
Rfam family: Bacterial large subunit ribosomal RNA
Source: RNAcentral
GAAAUAGAACCUGAAACCGUGUACGUACAAGCAGUAGGAGCACCUUCGUGGUGUGACUGCGUACCUUUUGUAUAAUGGGUCAGCGACUUAUAUUCAGUGGCAAGGUUAACCGUAUAGGGGAGCCGUAGCGAAAGCGAGUCUUAACUGGGCGCUCAGUCUCUGGAUAUAGACCCGAAACCGGGUGAUCUAGCCAUGGGCAGGUUGAAGGUUGAGUAACAUCAACUGGAGGACCGAACCGACUAAUGUUGAAAAAUUAGCGGAUGACUUGUGGCUAGGGGUGAAAGGCCAAUCAAACUCGGAGAUAGCUGGUUCUCCCCGAAAGCUAUUUAGGUAGCGCC